GUUUAUUUAGGUGUUUACCUUUGAAAUCUGACCACGAAAUUUCCUCAGCUCGUCUCCAAAAUCGCCGAUUCUAAUCUCCCAAUCGUUAUCAUCGACUAGAAUCGGAGCUUCGAUGGACUGUUUGGAAGAGAGCCGGUAGUACAGAACUACCAGAAUGUUGUCUCCGAGCAUGAAGGCCAAGAUUGUGAACCCUGAAACUAGUGAAGCUUUAUCAGUUAACCGGACCAACAAGCUUUGGUUGAGGGGUCCAACAAUUAUGAAAGGUUAUUUCAGCAAUGAAGAAGCAACUCAUCAACUAUUGACUCAGAAGGAUGGUUAAGAACUGGUUAAGUCAUUUGAAUCAACAGCCGAAGUAGAUGAAUGGAUGUUUUCUAAUCCUAUGCUGACCCCCGGAGCCUUGCAUUUUGCUAAACUA
This is a long non-coding RNA of Humulus lupulus (European hop), 415 nucleotides long. RefSeq lists it as uncharacterized. The record is from RefSeq and is a predicted model, not a curated record. The transcript is spliced from 3 exons. Lineage: Eukaryota; Viridiplantae; Streptophyta; Magnoliopsida; Rosales; Cannabaceae.